CCUGCCCCGACGCCUGGGCUCCACGCCUUUGAAGCCACCGGAGGAGCCGCGUCGUCCUUAAGAGUCCCAGGAGCCUUGGAUGGGCCCGGCCCUGCAGACCCCAACAGGGCCCUUGCUCCCCGGCCUCUUCAGUUUCCAGAACUGGUCAAGCCUGUUUCCACCGCCAGGAGUUUGCUCUGUGUUCUGCCCGCCUCUGUCUGGCUAACUUCUCUCAGAGGAGACUCACCUGGUCCCCGAGGAGAAGCCAGGCCCGUUCAUCAUUAUCCUCAGAUCCUUGUGGCUCUCACCGUGGUUUGUAAUUGCACUGGAAUUCACAUAAGUGUGGCCUAGAUCUGCCUUUGUCACUAGACCGUGAGUUCUGUGGGGCCAAGUCUGGUUCCUGCCACUUUCCGGGACCCAGAGCACUUCCUGGUACACCACAGGCAUUUGGUGUAUAUCUGCCCAGUAAAUGAGCAAAGGACUGGAAAUUGUUAAUUAUUUAUCAGCGUUAACCGGACUUUCCCAGACUGAAGAAUUGGGCGAGGGGUGGGACCUGUUCAAUGCAGGGAGUCUCUCAUUUCUGACUCCAGCUUCCCACUGGCAGGACUUGAUUUCAGUGGGUGCACAAAACAGACUUAUUUUAAGACAGUUAAGUUUACCCAAAUAUUGCUCAGAAUUGGGCCUCAGAGCUAGAGCUUUCCGGGUAGUAAUGCAAUUCCAGUGCCUCUUUCCAGGGUCUCAGUGAUUCUGUGUGUGAUCUUAAUGUUUGGCUAAGGCAGUAAUUCCUGAACCUGAGCCACAAGCAGAGGCUCACGUUUCUGCUGCAGAAUGUUCCCAGCUUGCUUCCCGAAGGCCCUUCCGGAAGCCUAGCGUGUAACUUGGAGUCUCUCCUGCGUGAAUGCAGAUUGACUCUCAGCCUUUUUCCUUCCAGUUCUUCAAGGUCUGCGAUUCUGGUGACCACAGGACCUGUUGCACCUCCGGUGGCGUGUGACACACACGCAUCCUGAGCACGCCAGCAGUGCCCUUCGGCCCCCCUGCUGUAAAGUGUGGUGACUCCAGGUGCGUUGUGACAUCACCAACAGAGGACUGUCUGGUGGGUCCCGAGGCCCCCUCCCUGCGGGUAUCCAAGUGCUGGAAUUAGAAGCGAAGGUCCACGAUCUGAAAACCAGAGCGGAUCAGCCGGACGCGGAAACACCUGACGCCCGACAGAGGAAGUCAGAGCCAGGCUUCUGACGGAUAAACGAGGCGGGCCGGUCCAGCGUGCGCAGUGGCUGUGUUUCCCUAACGCCCACCUGGCCAGUGAAUUAUGCCCGCCUCCACCGGUGACCGUCGUGGUGGCAGACACACCAGGGGAGCCGCGCACACACGAAUUCUCCAGCUGACCAUUCAUAAACGUUAAUCGCGAAAGCGAGUCAGUCAAAAAAGCAAGCUCCGGAGGUGGGGGGCGGCUCUCUGUAAAACACGGAGUUAAACUCAGGAUUGGAAAGUG
Molecule: non-coding RNA, 1468 nt
Organism: Vicugna pacos (alpaca)
Lineage: Eukaryota; Metazoa; Chordata; Mammalia; Artiodactyla; Camelidae
Source: RefSeq, a predicted model, not a curated record